This 447-nucleotide ribosomal RNA is filed under the name uncultured bacterium. RNAcentral's name for it is "partial 16S ribosomal RNA". It matches the Rfam family "Bacterial small subunit ribosomal RNA", at positions 28 to 523 of the family's 1533-position model. The record is from RNAcentral.
GAUGAACGCUGGCGGCAGGCUUAACACAUGCAAGUCGAGCGCCCCGCAAGGGGAGCGGCAGACGGGUGAGUAACGCGUGGGAAUCUACCUUUUGCUACGGAAUAACUCAGGGAAACUUGUGCUAAUACCGUAUGUGCCCUUCGGGGGAAAGAUUUAUCGGCAAAGGAUGAGCCCGCGUUGGAUUAGCUAGUUGGUGGGGUAAAGGCCUACCAAGGCGACGAUCCAUAGCUGGUCUGAGAGGAUGAUCAGCCACAUUGGGACUGAGACACGGCCAAAACUCCAGCGGGAGGCAGCAGUGGGGAAUAUUGGACAAUGGGCGAAAGCCUGAUCCAGCCAUGCCGCGUGAGUGAUGAAGGCCUUAGGGUUGUAAAGCUCUUUCCCCGGUGAAGAUAAUGACGGUAACCGGAGAAGAAGCCCCGGCUAACUUCGUGCCAGCCGCCGCCGUAA